RNAcentral lists this long non-coding RNA (714 nucleotides) under Homo sapiens (human). Its description in RNAcentral is "non-protein coding MTUS2-AS1:4". Lineage: Eukaryota; Metazoa; Chordata; Mammalia; Primates; Hominidae. The record is from RNAcentral.
GGAGCUACGGUACACAAGCACAGGUUCACAUUUAUGAAGCAGCCAAUAAGAAUUCCCAGCCUGAGAGGACCUUGGAACCAGAAGGAAUUGGAGGAGAUUUAAACAAGCUGACCCAAGGAAAGCACAAGAUCUUUCUAUGCAUUGAAGAUCACCAAAUCAAAGAUAAAAGUGCUCGACCAUUAUGGCCUAUGGCAAACUCGGGCUGGCUGAAGCAUCCUUCUCUUCCAUUUAGAACCCUGGUGAGGCCCCUUAGACCACCACUGGGCUGUCCUCCUCCCUCCUCAGAGACAGAGUUCUGGGCUGGGCCAUGGAGGUGUCUGUCAACACGGCAGUAGUCCUCGUUCUAUGGAAAACCAGCUGUUCCCUGUGACACGACUCCAUUCCCGCAGCUGCCUGCUAUUCAGCUGGGCUGACGGACAGCAGAGCACAGGGUUGGAAGACCACCCUCUCAGACAGUUUGAAAUCUCUAAAAGGCCGCCGUGUCCCGGCUUUAAAAAGAGGUGAAGCACAUCUCUCGGCACAUGCUUCUGCAUAGGUGAGGCCUCAGCGAGGCGUCCUGGCCCCUGAGUGGAGAUGCUCCCCUCAGCCGUGCCUCAGCUCCAGGGCACCAUCACGAGAGGCUUCGUUCAGGGUCUCCUGCCUGCGGACCACCUCUUACGUCUCCUCCUCACCUUCUGGUGUCGUCUCAACCAACUCAGACCUUCAGAUCAGAGG